This 866-nucleotide long non-coding RNA is filed under the name Sinocyclocheilus anshuiensis. RNAcentral describes it as "lncRNA (ENSSANG00000000647.1)". Lineage: Eukaryota; Metazoa; Chordata; Actinopteri; Cypriniformes; Cyprinidae. The record is from RNAcentral.
UCAUUACUGAUGUCUACUUUAUCUGUUUUGAGAGCGUGCCACAGAGUGUAUUUUUGGCAUUGAUAUGUAAUUACUUGUAAUGCACAAGCCUGUCGGAUGGCUGAGCAGGAAGUAGGAAGCUCUGAGGAUGAAGUAUUCCCCCAUAGUUCCCUAUCCUGACUGCAGCCAAUCACCUGCUGUUGCCUGGUCUGUUGAUGUGCCUGUCUGCACAGUAUGACUCUAUCCCUGGUGUGCGCGGAUCUAAAGGCUUGACGGGGUUGAGAGGCGUUCGGCUGUCAUGUUGUGCAUUACUGCACAGAGAGUGAGAGGUGGCUGUCAGGGGAAACCAACGCAGCGCUUUCAUACCCUUCAGUUUUGGCCUGAGAACAGAGUCUAUUACUGCUCAAACCCAUGUCAACUUCAUAGUAAGACUAAACCACUGAACCUCUUGGAAAUCAAGCCUUAUCUCUUGGAAAUCAAGCCUUAUCCAACAAAAUGCAGAGUAGAAAAUAUUCAGUGUUCUCACAGGUUUGGCAACGUUUUUGUUAUGAUGCAAUAUUUGCCUUUUUUGUGAUUGUUGAAGACAGUGGUUUGGCAUUUUGCUCCUUGGUUUCCAUUAAAUACCUACACUGCUUGCAUGUUCCUGCGUGGCUGUUCAUGUCAUUUAGCAAGAAACCCUUGAAUUUGUUUGUUCUUUGAUAUAUUGAUACUUUUAUACAGUCACUCUUACCGAUGUAUUAUUCCCCAUAAAUGUUUUUCAGUUUUAGAUAAAAAUGACCUAUAAAAACAAAGAUGGCAUCAUGAUGAAUUAUAGCCUGUUGACAACUGCCAGUAAUGUUUUAAUAAGCAUUAAAGGUAUUGUUCACCCAAAAAUUCUGCCGUUGUUC